AAAGAGGAAUUCUGACCUGGUUGUGGGAUCAAAGAUAGGCUUUAUGGGAAAGCAGGGAACAGGACCAGGGAAAGUAAGGGGAGGAGAUACGCAGAGGAGAUGCUACAGCAAGAGAAAGUGUUGAGAAAUGAAAACUUCAAACUCUGCAGCCUCACACCCAAACUGAAACAAACCACAGAAAAGGAGCAAUAUACUCGCCGGCCACGUACCGUGUUUAGCCAAAAUCAACUGGCAGUAUUGAUGGAUACCUUUGAGAAGAACACUCAUCCAGACACUGAUGCUAUUCAUGAAUUGGCAUCAAAACUGAAUCUUGACGAAGUGGUGAUAAAGAACUGGUUUAAGAACCAGCGGAUGAAACAGAAGAAAAUCAGGCUAAAAGUGCAAGGAGAUGCAUCACCUGGAACAUCCACACAGCAGGUUUUGGAAGAGAAGGAGCCCCCACUACAAAAUCCUGCGACGAAUGCCUCACCAAUUGCUGGAUCUUCAGAUGACGGCAACCAUGAUCCACAGGAGCCCUCUGAGAGCCACAUCACCAGAAGAGAUGGAGCCCCUGUGUUGAGUUCAGCAGUGGACACUCCGCAUGAUAACGUCCAGGAUACGUGUAUGGGGGAUUUGGAUGUUCCUUGG
This 627-nucleotide long non-coding RNA is filed under the name Heterocephalus glaber (naked mole-rat). RNAcentral describes it as "lncRNA (ENSHGLG00100048568.1)". The record is from RNAcentral. Lineage: Eukaryota; Metazoa; Chordata; Mammalia; Rodentia; Bathyergidae.